UGGAGCCUUAAACAGCUCUGAGUAAGCUAACAAAAUAAGAUUCUGGUGCUGAAAAGCUGAGUAUGUGACCCUGAUCAUUA
Molecule: unclassified non-coding RNA, 80 nt
Organism: Panthera pardus (leopard)
Lineage: Eukaryota; Metazoa; Chordata; Mammalia; Carnivora; Felidae
Source: Ensembl